Molecule: ribosomal RNA, 400 nt
Filed under: uncultured bacterium
Lineage: Bacteria
Description: bacterial SSU rRNA
Rfam family: Bacterial small subunit ribosomal RNA
Source: RNAcentral
UGGGGAAUAUUGGACAAUGGGCGGAAGCCUGAUCCAGCAAUACCGCGUGUGUGAAGAAGGCCUGAGGGUUGUAAAGCACUUUCAAUGGGAAGGAAUACCUGCAAGCGAAUACCUUGCAGACUGACAUUACCCAUACAAGAAGCACCGGCUAACUCCGUGCCAGCAGCCGCGGUAAUACGGAGGGUGCAAGCGUUAAUCGGAAUUACUGGGCGUAAAGCGUGCGUAGGCGGCCUGUUAAGCCAGAUGUGAAAGCCCCGGGCUUAACCUGGGAACUGCAUUUGGGACUGGCAGGCUAGAGUUUACUAGAGGGGAGUGGAAUUUCAGGUGUAGCGGUGAAAUGCGUAGAGAUCUGAAGGAACACCAGUGGCGAAGGCGGCUCCCUGGAGUAAAACUGACGCUG